AUGGUGGGAGCGGCGGAGGGGAAGCUGGCGCUGGGAGACAUGAGGGUGCUCAAGCCAUUGGCCCACCUGCUGGUCGGGCUGGUGCUGUACUGGGUGGCCGAGGAGAUGACGGUGCCUGUGCUGGUCGACGUCACCACCGCCGCCCUCUGCCCCGGCGACGGCAGCACCUCCUGCCCGGAGGCCAUCUACCUCACCGGCCUCCACCAAACGGUUGGAGGCAUUUUCAGGGCUGUGGGAUUCACUCUGAUGGGGCAGCUCGCCGACGAGUACGGCCGGAAGCCUCUCCUCAUCCUCGCCGCUGGCACCUCCAUCAUCCCUUACAGUGUGCUUGCUCUGAGCAGCACCAAGGUCGCCGUUUACGUCUACCUUGUCACACGCACGCUCUCAUUCAUGAUCGGCCAAGGGACCAUAACCUGCCUCGCAUUGGCGUACACGGCGGAUUUGGUAGAACCGUCCAAGAGGGCGUUCGCGUUUGGCUGCAUGACCGGGAUCCUGUCGGCUUCGCACUCCCUGGGGAACGUCUUCUCCAGGUUUCUGCCCGAGCACUGGAUUUUUCAGGUCUCGGUUCUUCUGCUGGUCUGUUCCGUGGUCUACAUGAAGAUUUGUCUGGUCGAGACACUUCAGAAAGCUCCCUCUGCUUCGUGUCAGCGUUUGUCCUUGUCGUCUUUGGUUCUCGGUUUGCCGCAGCAGCGUUGGGAGUCUAUCAAGGACAACAUUAGCAUGAUCAAAAUCAACAACACACUUAAGCGAAUCACAUACAUUUCCUUCUUCUACGAGUUAGGCAUGAUUGGCAUCAGCGAUGUUCUACUGUAUUACCUGAAGCUGGUAUUUGGAUUUGACAAGAAUCAGUUCUCCGAAAUUCUAAUGGUGGUUGGAAUUGGUUCAAUCUUUUCUCAGAUACUGAUACUCCCAGUUGCUAUCCAUGCAAUUGGCGAGAAGGGAGUCCUGUGCAUUUCAAUACUUGCAUCGGUUGCUUAUGCUAUGCUGUACGGCUUGGCUUGGAGUUGGUGGGCUCCAUAUUUUGCUUCUUCACUGGGUAUCAUCUAUUGUCUGGUCAAGCCGGCUACUUAUGCGAUCAUCUCUAGGGAAGUAGUCUCAGCUGACCAGGGAAAGGCACAGGGAUUCAUCGCAACAGUGAAAUCCACAGCUAUACUGAUGGCCCCAUUGUUCAUGAGCCCUCUAACCUCCUACUUCAUUUCCGAAGAAGCACCCUUCAACUGCAAAGGUUUCAGUUUCCUUGUCGCGGGUUUCUUCUUGGCAAUAUCCUUGGCAUUUGCUUGGAUGCUUGAUCCAGAAAGCAAACACAAACUCAUUGCAGUUGCAGAUCAAGACCAGCUCGAUCAGGAAGCAGUUCAAGCACCACUGCUGGCACAACCAUGA
This 1380-nucleotide ribosomal RNA is filed under the name Triticum aestivum (bread wheat). RNAcentral's name for it is "partial small subunit ribosomal RNA". The record is from RNAcentral. Lineage: Eukaryota; Viridiplantae; Streptophyta; Magnoliopsida; Poales; Poaceae.